RNAcentral lists this ribosomal RNA (405 nucleotides) under uncultured bacterium. Its description in RNAcentral is "partial 16S ribosomal RNA". It matches the Rfam family "Bacterial small subunit ribosomal RNA", at positions 33 to 526 of the family's 1533-position model. The record is from RNAcentral.
GAUGACGCUGGCGGCGUGCCUAAUACAUGCAAGUCGAGCGAGCGGCGGACGGGUGAGUAAUGUCUGGGUAACUGCCUGAUGGAGGGGGAUAACUCCUGGAAACGGUAGCUAAUACCGCAUACCAUCAGAUGUGCCCAGAGGGGGUUAGCUAGUAGGUGGGGUAAUGGCUCACCACGGCGACGAUCCCUAGCUGGUCUGAGAGGAUGACCAGCCACACUGGAACUGAGACACGGUCCAGACUCCUACGGGAGGCAGCAGUGGGGAAUAUUGCACAAUGGGCGCAAGCCUGAUGCAGCCAUGCCGCGUGUAUGAAGAAGGCCUUCGGGUUGUAAAGUACUUUCAGCGGGGAGGCGUUACCCGCAGAAGAAGCACCGGCUAACUCCGUGCCAGCAGCCGCGGUAAUUC